GCCCAGAUGGCGGAAUUGGUAGACGCGCUACUUUGAGGGGGUAGUGUCGGUUUCGACGUGCAAGUUCGAGUCUUGUUCUGGGCACCA
This 87-nucleotide transfer RNA is filed under the name bacterium. RNAcentral describes it as "tRNA-Leu". It matches the Rfam family "tRNA". Rfam says of the family: Transfer RNA (tRNA) molecules are approximately 80 nucleotides in length. Their secondary structure includes four short double-helical elements and three loops (D, anti-codon, and T loops). Further hydrogen bonds mediate the characteristic L-shaped molecular structure. tRNAs have two regions of fundamental functional importance: the anti-codon, which is responsible for specific mRNA codon recognition, and the 3' end, to which the tRNAs corresponding amino acid is attached (by aminoacyl-tRNA synthetases). tRNAs cope with the degeneracy of the genetic code in two manners: having more than one tRNA (with a specific anti-codon) for a particular amino acid; and 'wobble' base-pairing, i.e. permitting non-standard base-pairing at the 3rd anti-codon position. The record is from RNAcentral.